This 444-nucleotide ribosomal RNA is filed under the name Triticum aestivum (bread wheat). Its description in RNAcentral is "partial small subunit ribosomal RNA". The record is from RNAcentral. Lineage: Eukaryota; Viridiplantae; Streptophyta; Magnoliopsida; Poales; Poaceae.
AUGGCGGGCGGCGGAGCGGGCGGAGGAGCGGAAGCCGGCGAUGGCCAGCGAGUCGAGGCCGUCGCGGCGGCCGGCGGCGCAACACGCGGCCGCGAAAGAUCUGGUUCUGGAGGCCCUCACCGUGCUCGUGCAGUCAAGUUUCGACCGCGUUCGCCCUCGUACAUCCGUCGGCGGCGGCAAUUCGGUUGCGGCGCCAAGAUCCUUGACCUGGACGAGGACAUAGGGGCUGAUGGUGAAGCGGGUGUUGGCCGUGGAGGCGCUGUACCCGGCACUGCAGCGGGUCAUGCGGCUAACCAGGUCGGCGCGGCAGCUGGUGCUGGGCAAGACAUCGCGUCUGUAGGUGUUGGGCAAGACGGCACGGCAGCAUCAGUGCAUCCUGGGGCUGACCAUGACGCAGCAGCCGCAGGUGCUGGGGGCGUUGAGGAGAAGCUACACAAGCACUAG